Molecule: transfer RNA, 68 nt
Filed under: Dopasia gracilis (Burmese glass lizard)
Lineage: Eukaryota; Metazoa; Chordata; Lepidosauria; Squamata; Anguidae
Description: tRNA-Trp
Source: RNAcentral
AGAGAUUUAGGUUACAUCAAACCAAGGACCUUCAAAGUCCAAAACAGGGAAUAAUCCCCUAAUUUCUG